GUUCUCCUUUUUCACCCAAGUAAUUGCCUUUCUGUCUAAUGGCCCAAAUGGUCAAAUGGCAUCUACUAGUCUCAUAUGACCGCUGCCUCUCUGGCCUCGCCCUGCUGCUGAGGUCAGCAUGACCUGGAACUGUCCACUGGUCCCUUUCAGUAACCGGAAGCUUUCAUCAUAGACGUGCUGUAUUGCCCAGAAGCCAUCGUGUCGCUGGUCGGGGUCCUGCAGAGGCUGGCUGCCUGCCGGGAGCACCAGCGGGCUCCUGAGGUCUACGUGGCCUUUACCAUCCGCAACCCAGAGACGUGCCAGCUGUUCACCACCGAGCUAGGCCGGGCCGGGAUCAGAUGGGAAGUGGAACCUCGUCAUGAGCAGAAACUGUUUCCCUACGAAGAGCACUUGGAGAUGGCAAUGCUGAACCUCACCCUGUAGGACUCACACACGACUCCAACGGGAUUGUGAGAAUCAAGUCACUCUCGUGGGAAGAAUUUCUAUAUGGGAAAGCAGAUAAAACUUUCAUUGGACUGG
This 519-nucleotide small RNA is filed under the name Pan troglodytes (chimpanzee). RNAcentral's name for it is "retained intron". Lineage: Eukaryota; Metazoa; Chordata; Mammalia; Primates; Hominidae. The record is from RNAcentral.